AUUGAACGCUGGCGGCAGGCCUAAUACAUGCAAGUCGAACGGUAACAUAAAAGAAGCUUGCUUCUUUUGAUGACGAGUGGCGGACGGGUGAGUAAUAUUUGGGAAACUACCUGAUAGAGGGGGACAACAGUUGGAAACGACUGCUAAUACCGCAUAAAGCCUGAGGGUGAAAGCAGCAAUGCGCUAUCAGAUGUGCCCAAACGGGAUUAGCUAGUUGGUGGGGCAACGGCCUACCAAGGCGACGAUCAGUAGCCGGUCUGAGAGGAUGAACGGCCACAUUGGGACUGAGAUACGGCCCAGACUCCUACGGGAGGCAGCAGUGAGGAAUAUUGGUCAAUGGGCGAGAGCCUGAACCAGCCAAGUAGCGUGCAGGGAAGACGGGCCCUAUGGGUUGUAAACUGCUUUAUAGGGAAUAAAGUGAGCCACGUGUGGUUUUUUGUCAUGUACCCUAUGAAUAAGGACCGGCUAAUUCCGUGCCAGCAGCCG
This 486-nucleotide ribosomal RNA is filed under the name uncultured bacterium. RNAcentral describes it as "bacterial SSU rRNA". It matches the Rfam family "Bacterial small subunit ribosomal RNA", at positions 30 to 517 of the family's 1533-position model. The record is from RNAcentral.